GAUGAACGCUAGCGGCGUGCCUAAUACAUGCAAGUCGAGCGAACGGACGAGAAGCUUGCUUCUCUGAUGUUAGCGGCGGACGGGUGAGUAACACGUGGAUAACCUACCUAUAAGACUGGGAUAACUUCGGGAAACCGGAGCUAAUACCGGAUAAUAUUUUGAACCGCAUGGUUCAAAAGUGAAAGACGGUCUUGCUGUCACUUAUAGAUGGAUCCGCGCUGCAUUAGCUAGUUGGUAAGGUAACGGCUUACCAAGGCAACGAUGCAUAGCCGACCUGAGAGGGUGAUCGGCCACACUGGAACUGAGACACGGUCCAGACUCCUACGGGAGGCAGCAGUAGGGAAUCUUCCGCAAAGGGCGAAAGCCUGACGGAGCAACGCCGCGUGAGUGAUGAAGGUCUUCGGAUCGUAAAACUCUGUUAUUAGGGAAGAACAUAUGUGUAAGUAACUGUGCACAUCUUGACGGUACCUAAUCAGAAAGCCACGGCUAACUACGUG
RNAcentral lists this ribosomal RNA (497 nucleotides) under uncultured bacterium. Its description in RNAcentral is "partial 16S ribosomal RNA". It matches the Rfam family "Bacterial small subunit ribosomal RNA", at positions 28 to 507 of the family's 1533-position model. The record is from RNAcentral.